GUGUGUCCAAGGAAAGGGUCUUCUGCCACUGCUUUUUACCUCUCCGCCCCCUCCCCUGGCCCAGUUCCUCCGAACCCUAUUUCCUAAUUUCUCUUCCUUGCCUCAAGACGCAGCGCCUGGCAGAGCCUCUCGUGCCACCUCCUGACAGUCCCGGGAAGAUUCGGAGCCUCUAGCCUUGGGAGCUGGACGCGUGUGCCACUGCAGGAACGCGGACCAGCGGGAGCUACGCGGGAGCCAGGGAAAGACGCUGGACUCAUGGAGGUUUGACCUGGGGGCUCCCGUACAAGCCUUCAAUAAUUUUCAGCCGUGAAGCCCAGAGCCAAAUACAUGUUUAAAAAAAAAAAUCCCUCCCUCCUCUUGAUUAGUCCUCUCUGUUUUCAACUCUGCAUGUGGAAAAGGUCUUGGGAGCCUGGCUCUGUGGCAAAGUUGCAGCUUCUCUCAGAGGACCCAGAAGCUCACACCCCCUAGUUCUGGACUAGACUCUGGGUUUGCUUUGCCUUUGAUGCACGAGGUUCGCCCUGCAGCUUUUUCCUCUUUUUUUUCCCCCCUCUCUUGCCUGCAGCUGGCUAGAGCAGCCUUAACAUCUACUAAGGUCCCUGCUACCCACCCCCAGCACCCAGUUCUUUCUCUCUGAUCCUUAGCUCACGUGGACUUGCUGGAGUGAGCAGCAACCAAGACUUCGGAGUUGGAAUCCCUUGGUCAAUUUCCUGGAAGACAGCACUAAUAAGAUAGAGGAUCCUCCCAGCAUUGCACUAACAGGGCUCCCCUCCCCCUUUCUUGUAGAUCCCUGCAGCUGAACCCACCCCUAGGAGCUCAGGGCAUAUCAGCUUUUUCAGUCUCUGGGACUAGAAGUCCCAGGGAAAUUCACAGGCAGGGAUUCUUUUCAAGGGAGUAGAACCCCUGCCAAGGCUCGCUUUGCAGAGAUCAAGAGGAGCAGGCAUCUCGCGUAUCCCCGAGAGAGAGCCGCGGUCUUUCAUUUCUUCUUUGGAUCCGCAGCCUGCUCCUGGCGCAGAGAAGUUUGCAGCCCCUACAAGUCCCUACAACUUCCCAAGAUGAACCAAACCGCUGGAGCGUCCAAUCACGUCAGGUGUCCCCCGGGGAAAGGCCACAAGUUUUUUUUAGGUAUUACCCUCCUUCCCCACACCUGGUUGAGCCUUCUUGGUAAAAGAGAAAAACAGUUAACCAAGUUGAGAGAGUGA
This is a long non-coding RNA of Monodelphis domestica (gray short-tailed opossum), 1199 nucleotides long. The record is from Ensembl. Lineage: Eukaryota; Metazoa; Chordata; Mammalia; Didelphimorphia; Didelphidae.